GACUUGUGUAGUCAUACAUCCCCACUUUAACAACCCUCGCUUCUCUCUUCAUUUUUGCACCCUCCUACCCCUUCCCAUUGUGAUUCUUGUUUUAAUCGGUUUUUCUCUUCUUCCUUAACAGAGCUAUUAAGAAUGGCAAAGGAUUGCAUAGCAAGAAGGAAGUGCCUAUCCACCGUGUUGCAGAUAUAUCUGGGCUUGAGAGACUGAAAGGAUUUGAAGGCCCUUUGCAUCUAUGUGACUGAGUUCUGAGAGUCGAAAUGUCCAUGAUUUGGCACUCUGGAGGAUAGAGCACACAGACUUUGUGUUGAUGCACCAAAAAAGGAUACCCAAAAAGCAAAGCAGUUCCUGCCUUUUCUUCAGCGGGCAGGUCGUUCUGAAGCUGUGGUGGAAUACGUCUUCAGUGGUUCUCGUCUCAAACUCUAUUUGCCAAAGGAAACUUGCCUUAUCACCUUCUUGCUUGCAGGCAUUGAAU
RNAcentral lists this small RNA (472 nucleotides) under Pan troglodytes (chimpanzee). Its description in RNAcentral is "processed transcript". The record is from RNAcentral. Lineage: Eukaryota; Metazoa; Chordata; Mammalia; Primates; Hominidae.